Molecule: ribosomal RNA, 330 nt
Filed under: uncultured eukaryote
Lineage: Eukaryota
Description: partial 18S ribosomal RNA
Rfam family: Eukaryotic small subunit ribosomal RNA
Source: RNAcentral
CCCUUAGAUGUUCGGGGCCGCACGCGCGCUACACUGAAGGAAUCAGCACGUCUUUCUCCUUGUCCGAAAGGACUGGGUAACCCGCUGAACCUCCUUCGUGCUAGGGAUUGGGGCUUGUAAUUCUUCAUCUUCAACGAGGAAUGCCUAGUAAACGCAAGUCAUCAGCUUGCAUUGAUUACGUCCCUGCCCUUUGUACACACCGCCCGUCGCUCCUACCGAUUGAAUGAUCCGAUGAAUACCAUGGAUUGAGAGUACGAAUAGGUUCGCUUAUUUCUGCUGCUCGAGAAGUGGAGUAAAUCUUAUCAUUUAGAGGAAGGAGAAGUCGUAACA